Non-coding RNA from Acanthosepion pharaonis, 113 nucleotides. NCBI's taxonomy places the organism in Eukaryota, Metazoa, Mollusca, Cephalopoda, Sepiida, Sepiidae. The record is from the annotation of a GenBank genome assembly.
UUGCGCCCGUAUCACUUUGAAACACCGAUUCUCGUACGAUCACCGAAGUUAAGCAACGUUGAACCUGGUCAGUAUCUAAAUGGGUGAUCGCUGGGGUAUGCCAGGUGCUAUAA